AGGCUUUGCUUUCUUUUACUAACCAAUGUCGUUAGUUAACUUAUAACCAGGCUUAAUUCCUUUUGUCUUUGCCCUGCAUAUAUUUUCAUGCAAUCAAUGAAUUUAAUCCCUUUUUAUCAUGGUUUGAACAAAAUUGACGAAUGAAUUAAUAAUUAAUUCAUGUGAUAUAUGAAAGUUAUCAGAAGAAAAAGUAGGGUCUUUCACUUCGAUAACCCUAUUUGACCGAGCUGUUCGUCUGGGAAAGGUGAAAGUCUGUUGAAAGUCGAAGACAGCCUUCAAGAAAUGCGACUACUUGUUGGAAAGGACGAGCAACUGAAGACAUGACACGGUUGAGAUAUUUUAGCCAUGUUUGAAAGCGGCAGGUUAAAUACAGAAAAAUCGUCGAUGACAUAAAGAUGUACAAGAGAUGAAGAUCAGGAAGAAGAUAGAGAGGAGUACGUUAUUAUUUUUCCUGUCCUUAUCUUAACUUGUUUUUAGAUUUUUCGUUUAGAUGAGGAGGAGGCUGAUGAAAAGUAGAGGAGGAUGCUGACGAGAGACAAGAAGGAUGCAGAUGAAGAGACGAGGAUGCAGAUGAAGAGAAAAGGAGGAUGCAGAUGAAGA
Molecule: long non-coding RNA, 600 nt
Organism: Xenia sp. Carnegie-2017
Lineage: Eukaryota; Metazoa; Cnidaria; Anthozoa; Malacalcyonacea; Xeniidae
Exons: 2
Source: RefSeq, a predicted model, not a curated record